UAUUAUUUCGCACGGAGGCUCGCGAAAUUUUGACAGGUUGCAAUGAAAAAAUAUAAGAAAACACAAGAUUGGCAAUUUUUUUCAUCGCAACCUGUCAAAAUUUCGUGGUUUAGAAAUUCAAUAUUUCGAAUUUGAAUGCACACCCAAACAAAGCAAAUCAGCUCAACUAAUCUUGUCUCAACAUCCUGGAUCUGGCAAUCAGCCAACCAACAUUAAAUCGAUACAACCGCAGCAGUACCAACUACUCCAAAUCCAACAACAGCCCCUCAAAAAAGGACCACAUAGCAAUUACUGCUCAAACGAACAACAGGAGUUUACGAAUGAUGGACACAUCGGAAAACAUUUCAUCGGCACAUUCUGCCUUAAAACAUGUCUGCCACUAUUUUUGAAAAUAUCACUGCCUACACAGUGCUCGUGAUUCCAUUCCAGCAGCAGCAAGCAAUCACUAUUCGAGUGCUUAUCGCCAACAUUUCACAGCAAGCUCAGCAGCAGAACCACCUUCAACCACAACAUCAGAAAAUUAAGAUUUCUUCCAGACCAUGACCAUCAUCCUAAAGGUCGGUAGCAAUAACGUUCAACCGACGGUACAACCUGGUCAGCAACCGCAAUUAGUGCAAUAGAUCCAACCCAAAUGUAGAUUUACCAACUGCAAAAAAGAUAGCAACAGCACAUUCAAACACAGUAGCAGCAGCAUACUAUACUGUACCAUGCGGUGUGCAGGACUUUUUUAUUCAGUUGGUGCGGCAAGAUCGAACACCAACAACAUAAUAUCAUGGUAAUCACCCAGCAAGAAAACGCAGUGAUAAUGGGCCAACAGAAAACACAACAUCAAGAUGCUCGGAAAGGACUUUCUCUUUCGAACAAACAUAAUGGCACGUCAUCUUCAAUCGGCUAACCGUUUGGAAUAAGCGCUCAUCAUCGGUUUCAUGGCAGGGAAGUGAGCAGGCAAAAGAAGGCAUCGUUUUUUCCGCAAGGUCGCUCUGGUCAAAAUUUCAGCGAAUUGCAAGGAAUAAACCACCCGAGGGACAGUACCCGUGCUGAUUCAGGACGAUUUCCCAUACUUUGUACCUUGCUAUUGAAUUUUAAUACCCGAUCGAAACGAUGGCAAGCGCUGCCGAUAACUGGGUCAAAAAGACGACGGAUCAAGAAAUUUCUGCACUCGGUUAGCGAACUGAGUACAUAUCAUCAAGGAUAAGGAUUCAGAGCCGGCGGCUGGCAGUCCAGAGAAAGAGAAUGCGGAAAAACCUAGUCCACCGGCAGUAGAACCACAGCUGCACCUGAUGUUUGGAGUUCGGUAGCUACAGAAAUUCUGACUCUAGCAGCUCCUGAAGAAAAACAAGCUGCAAGAGAAAAUGGAGAAACACCUUCCUCCGCGGAAGAUGCAGAGGCAUUCAAGUAAGUCGAAAUCUGCAGAAAAUUUUGAUUAGGACAUAAGGAACAUUGACAGCCUCUCUUUGUUUACUUUCUCUUUCGAUUAUGACGUCACUAUAACACUUUGCACUAAUUUUCCAGUACAUAGC
Long non-coding RNA from Topomyia yanbarensis, 1520 nucleotides. RefSeq lists it as uncharacterized. The record is from RefSeq and is a predicted model, not a curated record. NCBI's taxonomy places the organism in Eukaryota, Metazoa, Arthropoda, Insecta, Diptera, Culicidae. The transcript has 5 exons.